UGACUCGCACUCCCAUCAGACCGGUGCCAAGAUGCGUGACAACGCGGCCACGGACAACAGCCGAUCGACUGUCAGGAAACAACAAUGUUAACGAUCCAAUAGCUGUCUCUGCUCGAUCGUGUCAAACUAAGUGAUUCCAGAACAUACUGACCGGGCAGCACGGAUAAAACAGAGCCGAGUUAAAAUGAUGUGAUUAAAGGCGAAACUAGACGGAGAGAUAGAGAAGAAGAAGAAAUAGAAGAUGGAGAAGAGAAUAGAAAAUAGAGAGAAGGAAGGAAAUAUAUGAGUAGAGAAAUAAUUUGAUUAAUCCUACUGAGUUUUUUUAGAUUAUUUUUAAUCCAAAUCUAUGUUUCUAAAGUUUAGGUAUACACCAAAAAAAUAAAUUUUAUUAUUCGAUAAAUUUCUUUUAUUAAAGCAAUUUCGUUUCUUGAGAUGAAAAUAAAAAUUAAAAUAUAAGAAUUAAAAGGAUAGUAGUAUAGGAAUAAGAGGAACGCAGCGGGGUUAAUCCAGGAUAGAAAGAAGCUUUGCGUUUCAAUUUUAUGUCAAAUAUCUUCAAACAUUGAAAGUUUUUUGUUCAAUAAAAUAAAAAUUCGAGGAUCUUAGUAAGGGUAAGUUAGGGUAAUAGGGGAUGAAAUAGAGAUCUUGUAUAUAGAGAGAUCACGUGAGAAGAGUUUUCGAAAUGUCCCGAAAUGUUUCAAAAUAUCUUCGAAAGAAAGUUAGGCAGAAGUCUUUAGGAAUCAGUUCCAGAAAUGCGGUUGGGAAAACACGGUUCUAAAUAUAAUGAUUCACAAAAGUAUUCGAACACUUGUAGAUACCUUUUAUGAAUACGUUAUGUGUGUUAUCCGAAACAUAAAGAACAUUCACUAAUUUCUUUGUCUUAAUUUUAUGUAAUAUUUUUAGGCAUUAGGUAACAAUUAUAAUUUUACUAUAUAUGCUAUAUAAACACUAUAUAAUAAAUGUCCGUCAAUUCUGUCUGUGUUAAACUAUCAAAAUGUUUUACAUAACACACACAAUACACACAUAAAAAGAUUUCCAUGGUAAAUAUUGAAAUACUUUCAUGAACUACUAUAGAUUUUUAAUUACUCUUUUAAUAAAUGAUCAUAGGCAUAAAGCUCGAGGCUCGUAGAUGGUGUCACACAUUCACGCAAGCUCCACUCGGACGGACACGUGAAAUAGAAAUAGAAAGAAAGAAAGAAAGAACAGUGUAUAUGGAGAAGACCGUCGAUCGUUCGUUGUAUCAUCGAUCGAUUUCAUAUUGAAUGAUUAAGAGAGUAGCGAAUAUAGUCGAAGAAGAAAGUAUAGAAUGAGAGUGUAGAGUGAAGAGAACUGGGGGUUCAGUGCAGGGCACACGCUCGCGCACACGUACGUACAAACAUAUGUAUAAAACUUUUGGGAUGUGAUUUCACACGGGUCACAACAACGCAGAGAAUAUAUCAUAUCUAUGUAUACGUCUUCGUGUUUUUGUAUAACGAAAAAAUAUAUAUAUAGAUAGAUAAAGAUAGGUAGAAGAGGAUGCAUGUGUCUUGUCAUAGAUCGAGACAGCUAAAGGUUACUUUUUAUAAUUAACACAUUCGUUGCUUUACAUUGAACGUUAGAUACUUCUCUUGUUAGAAAUAUUUUUCUUUUAAAUAAUAAUUAAUAUCUCUUUAACACACAUUUGUUUUCUGAAUAUUUUAUUAAAACAUACAGAAUAAACAUAUAAAACACGAAGAAUGAUACGAAGGUCACAGGGGAAAAAUAUGAUAAGUAUAUUUUUAUUGAUUUCCUGCUUUUAACUUCGCUUUAUGAUCAAACGGAAGAACUUUUAUAUGACAUAAUUGAAAAUGAAAACAACCUGUCAGAUCCAGAGAUGCAAGUCUUUUAGAAAUAACUAAUGGCUUGAAGAAGGUAACGGACAAGCAAUAUUUUAAUCUCUGCAACAUUGUAAUACAAUAACGAGCAUUAUUUUGAAAAUCUGUAAGAGGAUGAGAAAACUCUUGUUUAACUUCACAACCAAAUAUAUAGACAAUUUUGGUAAUAGGAUUUAUUCACAAUGCGCUGAAUCGUAAAGUUUCUGUGUAAAAAGUAGGAAAUGUGACUUAUUACGUUCUUUCCCUGUAGUCUUCGUAUUAUUGUCAGAUAAUCGAAACGACGCAGCAUGUGCGUCAGUAGCAGUAGACGGUAUUAGUCAGUCAUCUGAAUCUCCUUAAAUCCUCGAUAAACUCUAGCCGUCUCGCAAGACACGCGUUCUUCUCAGACGUAUACGUCAUUAGUAAAAGACAUUACGUAUCAUAUAUAUAUAAUAUGUCGUGGCUACCGAGUUUCACUGUAUUUGUUCCAAGUGUCUAAUCGAACACACGUAAGAAAAAAAGAAAGGAAUUGCACGUAACAUCAAAGUUGGGACGGACCAACGGGACGGACACGUUCAAGUAUUAUAAUGUACGACGAAUAUAUUCGUUUCUCACGAGUAUAUACAAUAAUCAUAUAACGCGUGUGUGUUAUUAUAUAAUAAUUCUGUUAUUAUUCCUAUUAUUGCAGUUAGAAUGAUUCUCUAAAGUAACGAGACGCGUUGGACGAAGGAGAAUCGUAAUACGUGAUCGUGCUGAACAAACUCACCUCUCGUUGAAGGUUUCUUGACGCGCGUAAUUUUGAAGACUGCCUUCGUCGAUUAAAAAUUUCAUCCUCUCGAAGAAGGAAGCGGUGAUGGCCGGCGGCUGCUUUCGCAGAAGUAUAUCGAUCGGCUUCGGUGCUGACACGCAAAGUUGGCUGCUACGACAUAUAUGAUUCGAGCAACAUUCCGGAUCCGCGCAAUCGAUGAGACCGUCUGGAAAAGCAUAGUAAUGGGUUCUUUAUAUCGGAGACUAAUGGCUCUAAAUGGCUGGCAUAAGCCACACCCAUGAUUUAGAGCUCGAAGUAAUAUGAAAAUGAAACGCGAAAACACGAAGUAACAAGUUCCUAAGAAACAAUUACACGUUUCUCGAUUUGGUGUGUCAAUAGAAUACUUUCAAACAUGCUCAAACAUAUUUCUAUCUCUAGAACCAUUCAUGGAUAAAAUAAAGCACCCUACUUAAAGUAACUAGAGGAUCACAUCCACUGCAUUUUUAUCAUAUCAUUCCAAUAAUAAUUUUUUAUAUAUAUUUAAUAUAUUAUAUAUUUUAUAUUUUUAAAUAUGCGAUAGUGUUUAUUUAUUGUAGUGUUGAACUAGAAUUUCAAUUUAAUUUUCUUCACAUAUAUAUCCAAUGAUCUAAAUAAUAACAUUUAUAAUCUAAUUUGUCGAAUUAUGAAUAAUAAUUUACUCCUCGUUUUGUACCUUUGUC
This is a long non-coding RNA of Bombus impatiens (common eastern bumble bee), 3296 nucleotides long. RefSeq lists it as uncharacterized. The record is from RefSeq and is a predicted model, not a curated record. The transcript has 4 exons. NCBI's taxonomy places the organism in Eukaryota, Metazoa, Arthropoda, Insecta, Hymenoptera, Apidae.